GAGGACAUCACAAAUAAUUUCUCUGAAGACAGAAAAAUAGGUCAUGGUGGAUUCGGAGCGGUUUACAGGGGUGUCCUCGGAACCCAGAACAUUGCUGUGAAGAAGAUUGUUGUGAACGAAUACACAGUCGAUGAGAGGCUAUUUCGUUGUGAGGUUGAUAGCCUGAUGACGAUCAAAAACCAUCCAAACUUAGUCCGGUUUCUGGGCUUCUGUUCUAAUAAAGCUCGUAUAGUGAAAGACAAGACAGGAUCAGAAGAAUCAUUUUACCCUCAAAUAAUGGAUAUAUUACUUUGUUUCGAGUAUAUCAGCAAUGGGAGCCUUGAUGAACAUAUUACUGAUGAAUUUCGAGGACUCACAUGGGAUAACCGUUUCGAUAUAAUAAAAGGAAUUUGUGAGGGUCUACGUUAUCUUCAUGAGGAUAAAUCUAUCAUUCAUAUGGAUCUGAAGCCAGCAAACAUACUACUUGAUGAUCAUAUGGUACCAAAAAUUACUGAUUUGGUCAGUCAAGAUUAG
RNAcentral lists this ribosomal RNA (513 nucleotides) under Triticum aestivum (bread wheat). RNAcentral describes it as "partial small subunit ribosomal RNA". Lineage: Eukaryota; Viridiplantae; Streptophyta; Magnoliopsida; Poales; Poaceae. The record is from RNAcentral.